AUUCUAUUGUUGUUCCAUACACACAAAUGAUUGCAUUUUCACACUUACGUGUGAGGUGUGACCCCCUCAAAUUUUGUUCUGAUGUUGGUACUUUUCUGGACAUGAGA
Molecule: small nucleolar RNA, 107 nt
Filed under: Otolemur garnettii (small-eared galago)
Lineage: Eukaryota; Metazoa; Chordata; Mammalia; Primates; Galagidae
Description: Small nucleolar RNA U13 (ENSOGAG00000023722.1)
Rfam family: Small nucleolar RNA U13
Source: Rfam by way of RNAcentral